RNAcentral lists this ribosomal RNA (775 nucleotides) under uncultured Neocallimastigales. RNAcentral describes it as "partial large subunit ribosomal RNA". It matches the Rfam family "Eukaryotic large subunit ribosomal RNA", at positions 23 to 645 of the family's 3401-position model. The record is from RNAcentral. Lineage: Eukaryota; Fungi; Neocallimastigomycota; Neocallimastigomycetes; Neocallimastigales.
AGAGAGAGACAUGCGCGCAUAUCAAUAAGCGGAGGAAAAGAAACUAACAAGGAUUCCCUUAGUAACGGCGAGUGAAGCGGGAAGAGCUCAAAUUUGAAAUCUUCAAGGUUUUACCUUGACGAAUUGUAGUUUAAAGAAGUGUUUUCUGCUGAAGUUUUGGUAAAAGUUCUUUGGAAUAGGACAUCAUAGAGGGUGAGAAUCCCGUAUUUGACCAUUAUUUUCAGCUUUGUGAUACACUUUCAAAGAGUCGGAUUGUUUGGGAAUGCAGUCCAAAAUGGGUGGUAAAUUUCAUCUAAAGCUAAAUAUUGGCGAGAGACCGAUAGCGAACAAGUACCGUGAGGGAAAGAUGAAAAGAACUUUGAAAAGAGAGUUAAACAGUACGUGAAAUUGUCAAAAGGGAAGCGUUUGACACCAAUGUUGUUUUCUCGAAAAUCAAUUAAAAAUGGCUCGAUUUUGUAUUGUUGAGACCUUAAAAGCUCACUGUACAUUUUUCGUGUCUUUCUUAAUGCACUUUUCGUUUAACAAGUCAACAUCAGUUUCUUUUGUUGUAAAAGGGUCAUUGGAAGGUGGCUUUCUUUUCGGAGAAAGUGUUUAUAGCCUUUGGCCUCUGCAAUCGGAAGAGACUGAGGUCUGCAGCGUAGACUCUUCGGGGUUAGAUACAUUUGUGCUAAGUUAUAGCUUUUUAUAGACAACUUGUUGACUAUAAUUAGUCUUGUAGCUUACUCGCUUAUGCUAUUUUACCUACGCUUAGGAUGUUGAAGUCAUCGUAUCGCGC